This is a non-coding RNA of Ostrinia furnacalis (Asian corn borer), 72 nucleotides long. NCBI's taxonomy places the organism in Eukaryota, Metazoa, Arthropoda, Insecta, Lepidoptera, Crambidae. The record is from the annotation of a RefSeq genome assembly.
GCCUCUGUGGUCUAGUGGUUAGACCACCUGCUUUAGACGCAGAGGUCCUGGGUUCAAUUCCCAGUGGGGGCA